GAGUUUGAUCUUGGCUCAGAUUGAACGCUGGCGGCAUGCCUUACACAUGCAAGUCGAACGGCAGCACGGGAGCUUGCUCCUGGUGGCGAGUGGCGAACGGGUGAGUAAUGCAUCGGAACGUAUCCUGGAGUGGGGGAUAACGUAGCGAAAGUUACGCUAAUACCGCAUAUUCUGUGAGCAGGAAAGCGGGGGACCUUCGGGCCUCGCGCUCUUGGAGCGGCCGAUGUCGGAUUAGCUAGUUGGUGAGGUAAAGGCUCACCAAGGCGACGAUCCGUAGCAGGUCUGAGAGGAUGAUCUGCCACACUGGAACUGAGACACGGUCCAGACUCCUACGGGAGGCAGCAGUGGGAAUUUUGGACAAUGGGGCAACCCUGAUCCAGCCAUGCCGCGUGAGUGAAGAAGGCCU
RNAcentral lists this ribosomal RNA (406 nucleotides) under bacterium enrichment culture clone ALO1_GLFRUDD03F073F. Its description in RNAcentral is "bacterial SSU rRNA". It matches the Rfam family "Bacterial small subunit ribosomal RNA", at positions 9 to 417 of the family's 1533-position model. The record is from RNAcentral.